CCGGGUGGCUUAGCUGGUCAUAGCGCCGCACUCAUAAUGCGGAGGUCGAGGGUUCGAAGCCCUCCCCGGGCA
Molecule: transfer RNA, 72 nt
Filed under: Halobacteriales archaeon QH_10_67_22
Lineage: Archaea; Methanobacteriati; Methanobacteriota; Halobacteria; Halobacteriales
Description: tRNA-Met
Rfam family: tRNA
About the family: Transfer RNA (tRNA) molecules are approximately 80 nucleotides in length. Their secondary structure includes four short double-helical elements and three loops (D, anti-codon, and T loops).
Source: RNAcentral